UUUAUUUUGUUUUGUUUUACAUACAAACAGCAUCUUGCUCUGUUGCUCAGACUGGAGUGUAUUGGCAUCAUCAUGGCUCACUGCAACCUGGACCUCCUGGACUCAGCCUCUCAAAUAGCUGGAACUACAGACACGCACCGCCAAAUCUGGUUAAUUUUUAUUUUACUUUUUGUAGAAAUAGAGUCUUGCUAUGUUGCCCAGACUGGUCUCGAACUCCUGGGCUCAAGCAAUCCUUUGGCCUCAGCCUCCUAAAGGGCUGGCAUUACAGGCACGAGUCACUGCACCUGGCCAAAAUGUUGGAAUUGUGAUUAUUUCUAAGGAAAGCACCAAAGUCCACACCAUGGCAAAAAUCAGAAUUUUAUUGGACGCCCUCAUGCCUUUACUGCUUUAGUGUGGCUUUCAUGUUGAUUUCCAUAUGGGGGCAUAUUCUUUUAGGUCCAUAGCAACUUUCAAAUUUUCCACCCAGCCCUGCUUAUGAAACAUUUGCUGCUUCCUUUUGGUUUCUCAAAAGGGCACCUGGAAAGUUCAGCUUCAGCAAAACAUGACUAAGUAGAGCAUUUGGAGUCAAAUCUGAGUUUGAGUCCCUGACUUAUCACUCAACCAAAUGAACAUUUGAACACAUUUUUUUUUUUUUUUUUUUUUUUUUUUUUUUUGAGACGGAGUCUUGCUGUGUCGCCCCCGCUGGAGUGCAGUGGUGCGAUCUCUGCUCACUGCAAGCUCCACCUCCCGGGUUUACGCCAUUCUCCCGCCUCAGCCUCCAAGUAGCUGGGACUACAGGCGCCCGCCACCUCGCCCGGCUAGUUUUUUGUAUUUUUAGUAGAGACGGGGUUUCACCAUGUUAGCCAGGAUGGUCUCGAUCUUCUGACCUCGUGAUCCACCCGCCUCGGCCUCCCAAAGUGCUGGGAUUACAGGCUUGAGCCACCGCGCCCGGCCCAUUUGAACAAAUUAAUGAACAAACUUAAUACAACUCAACCCCAGUGAACGCUCUGCCUCUUCAUCUACUGGCCUCAGCAGCACGGCACACAGAGCAAGGCUUGUUUGGGACGAGUCACAGAACCCUGCUCCAGCCAGGAGCCCACCCCUGCCCGCACCCCUCGUGGUGCCACAGAGAACAGCUGUGAACAGUGGGUUACAAACAGAGAGGGACUGGGACAGAGGGCACGAGGGACACGGGGUGACCAAAGCGAGCAGGAGCAGGAAGAGAUGGACCGAUUCACAGCUGACAUGUGGCAUCCUUACACUGGCACUUCCUGGAGGGAAACAAGGGCCGAAGGGGGGAAAUUCAGGUCCAAAUCCAGGUGGGAGAAGAAGAGAGAACCAGUGUAGGGGAAACCUUUAUCGGGAGAAGAGACCUGCGUCCAAGCCCCCAUCUUCCCCUUCCGCUCCGUCGGCUUGGGGGCCCUGGGCCCUGUUCCUCAUCUGCAGCAUGGGGAUGAUAAUAUUUUACUUGCUUCUUGCUAAGAAACUAGACAUCUUUAGGUACUUUCCACUUUGAAAAUCGAUGACUUAAUAGUUUUCUUAAACAACACCAAUAAAAGGUUAUUUGUGUGAAAACAUAACAUUGGCAUAACAAGGUGUG
Molecule: long non-coding RNA, 1579 nt
Filed under: Macaca mulatta (Rhesus monkey)
Lineage: Eukaryota; Metazoa; Chordata; Mammalia; Primates; Cercopithecidae
Description: lncRNA (ENSMMUG00000053180.1)
Source: RNAcentral